GUAGGUGGCAAGCGUUGUCCGGAAUUAUUGGGCGUAAAGCGCGCGCAGGCGGUCCUUUAAGUCUGAUGUGAAAGCCCACGGCUCAACCGUGGAGGGUCAUUGGAAACUGGGGGACUUGAGUACAGAAGAGGAAAGCGGAAUUCCAAGUGUAGCGGUGAAAUGCGUAGAGAUUUGGAGGAACACCAGUGGCGAAGGCGGCUUUCUGGUCUGUAACUGACGCUGAGGCGCGAAAGCGUGGGGAACAAACAGGAUUAGAUACCCUGGUAGUCCACGCCGUAAACGAUGAGUGCUAAGUGUUAGGGGGUUUCCGCCCCUUAGUGCUGCAGCUAACGCAUUAAGCACUCCGCCUGGGGAGUACGGCCGCAAGGCUG
RNAcentral lists this ribosomal RNA (371 nucleotides) under uncultured organism. RNAcentral's name for it is "partial 16S ribosomal RNA". It matches the Rfam family "Bacterial small subunit ribosomal RNA", at positions 527 to 896 of the family's 1533-position model. The record is from RNAcentral.